UGCCUCAGUAACGGCGAGUGAAGCGGCAAAAGCUCAAAUUUGAAAUCUAGCACCUUCGGUGUUCGAGUUGUAAUUUGAAGAUGGUAACCUUGGGUUUGGCUCUUGUCUAUGUUCCUUGGAACAGGACGUCAUAAAGGGUGAGAAUCCCGUCUGAUGAGAUGCCCAUUCCUAUGUAAGGUGCUAUCGAAGAGUCGAGUUGUUUGGGAAUGCAGCUCUAAGUGGGUGGUAAAUUCCAUCUAAAGCUAAAUAUUGGCGAGAGACCGAUAGCGAACAAGUACAGUGAUGGAAAGAUGAAAAGAACUUUGAAAAGAGAGUGAAAAAGUACGUGAAAUUGUUGAAAGGGAAGGGCAUUAGAUCAGACUUGGUGUUUUACGAUUAUCUUCUCUUCUUGAGUUGUGCACUCGUAUUUCACUGGGCCAGCAUCAGUUU
RNAcentral lists this ribosomal RNA (429 nucleotides) under Hansenula anomala. RNAcentral's name for it is "Wickerhamomyces anomalus partial large subunit ribosomal RNA". It matches the Rfam family "Eukaryotic large subunit ribosomal RNA", at positions 76 to 502 of the family's 3401-position model. The record is from RNAcentral. Lineage: Eukaryota; Fungi; Ascomycota; Saccharomycetes; Phaffomycetales; Wickerhamomycetaceae.